RNAcentral lists this ribosomal RNA (208 nucleotides) under uncultured bacterium. RNAcentral's name for it is "partial 16S ribosomal RNA". It matches the Rfam family "Bacterial small subunit ribosomal RNA", at positions 28 to 229 of the family's 1533-position model. The record is from RNAcentral.
GACGAACGCUGGCGGCGUGCUUAACACAUGCAAGUCGAGCGGUAAGGCCCUUUCGGGGGUACGACGAGCGGCGAACGGGUAGGAGUAACACGUGGGUGACCUCGCCCUCCAGCUCUGGGAGUAAGCCUCGGGAAACCGGGUACUAAUACUGGAUAUGACUCCAUGACGCAUGUUGUGGGGUGGAAAGCCUUGUGCGGCUGAGGAUGGG